GUCUCCUCUUUCGCCUCCUGCACCUUGAGAGCCCUGGGCUACUCUGUCACAGCCCCUGUUGCCCUGCGAUCUGUAGGUCCUUGGGGACGCAUAGUUAAGGUGCCAGGACAUCCUGGAAGCUGGGAAAUGGUAUGUAUUCAUUUCGUACCACCGUAGUGGAAGAGAGACUAUCCCUAUCAAUACACCUGGUAACAUUCCCAACAGUAAGUCGUGAGAUUCUGCUUGAAAUCACCUCUCAGACAAAUAAAAAACAGUCCUGGGAAAUGUACGACACUCAUUCUGCUAAAGAAAUAGGGCAAGAAAGCUUUCUAAGACCCCGAACUCCAGAUAUGCGAUGGGGCAAAUCCUGAAGCGUACAUGGCUAUCUCUCACAGCUAAAGCAUCCCUCACCCCUAUCCAGCGCUUCUUACCCCUGGCGCAAGAGAAUCACCUGCGGGGAGGAAAACUUUCAAAAUCCCUUAAACCCAAGUUGUAACCGCACAACUAAAUCAGAAUCCUUGGAGCUGGAUCUGAAAAAAAUAUGGUUGAAAGUCGUGCAGGUGAUUACAAUGUGUAGGCAAGCCAGAAAACCAUGGCUUUAACGAGCAGCUUUUGUUAGAAAUGAUUUCUCCAAUGAAUGUGAAAACGUUUGCUGCUGAAUUGUGACCUUUCCAUUUUACCUGCUUUUCCUGCAAAGUAUAUUUUGCAGACCCAGGCUGGCUUCUCCUUCUGUUCCUGGUUCACCCAGUGCCGUGUGUGCUCAGUGCAUCCUGUGCACGGGUCACUGUGUGCCCUGGCCUGGGUGAGCAUCAUUCUUCGGGGAGAACCUUGAUGAAAACAAAGCUGCAUUCCAAAAAGUUAAAACCAUGCUACUUACUGUGUUGAAGUAAAAAUUAAAAGACCCAGGGGGGCUCACCCAAAAGUUAAAACAUAAAUAAAUAACUUGGAACAUUAA
Molecule: long non-coding RNA, 934 nt
Filed under: Homo sapiens (human)
Lineage: Eukaryota; Metazoa; Chordata; Mammalia; Primates; Hominidae
Description: novel transcript
Source: RNAcentral